Molecule: long non-coding RNA, 239 nt
Filed under: Mytilus galloprovincialis (Mediterranean mussel)
Lineage: Eukaryota; Metazoa; Mollusca; Bivalvia; Mytilida; Mytilidae
Source: RNAcentral
CAACACAUAAAUGAAGAAAAACAGUGACUUCCGGUUCCAAAAUGGCGGUAAAUACGUAGAAAAUAUUUUCAUAAUUUCCAUCAACUUAACAAGUGUUAACACUCUUUGUUAAGUUUAAAUGCCUAGUUUGGUUAGAAAGACAGGUUGCUUAUCUUAUAAUUUUCUGAUCGUUGCCUAUACAACAACCCGUACAAGGAAGGCCAGAACGGUAGCAUCUACUGUUACCAACACAGCUCGGU